GCCGGGGUGGCGAAACUGGCGAUACGCGGCCGACUUAAAAUCGGCUGUCCCCCAGCGGGGGCGUGCGGGUUCGAGUCCCGCCCCCGGCA
This 89-nucleotide transfer RNA is filed under the name Actinomycetes bacterium. RNAcentral describes it as "Actinobacteria bacterium tRNA-Leu". It matches the Rfam family "tRNA". Rfam says of the family: Transfer RNA (tRNA) molecules are approximately 80 nucleotides in length. Their secondary structure includes four short double-helical elements and three loops (D, anti-codon, and T loops). Lineage: Bacteria; Bacillati; Actinomycetota; Actinomycetes. RNAcentral also lists the same sequence under 1 other name. The record is from RNAcentral.